Molecule: ribosomal RNA, 459 nt
Filed under: uncultured bacterium
Lineage: Bacteria
Description: partial 16S ribosomal RNA
Rfam family: Bacterial small subunit ribosomal RNA
Source: RNAcentral
CCUACGGGAGGCUGCAGUGAGGAAUAUUGGUCAAUGGUCGGGAGACUGAACCAGCCAAGCCGCGUGAGGGAGGAAGGUACAGAGUAUCGUAAACCUCUUUUGUCAGGGAACAAAGGCGGGGACGUGUCCCCGGAUGAGUGUACCUGAAGAAAAAGCAUCGGCUAACUCCGUGCCAGCAGCCGCGGUAAUACGGAGGAUGCGAGCGUUAUCCGGAGUUAUUGGGUUUAAAGGGUGCGCAGGCGGUCUGUUAAGUCAGCGGUCAAAGCCCGGGGCUCAGCCCCGGCCCGCCGUUGAAACUGGCAGUCGCGAGUUGGAGAGAAGUAUGCGGAAUGCGAGGGGUAGCGGUGAAAUGCAUAGAUAUCGCGCAGAACUCCGAUUGCGAAGGCAGCAUGCCGGCUCCACACUGACGCUGAGGCACGAAAGCGUGGGUAUCGAACAGGAUUAGAUACCCCAGUAGUC